Molecule: ribosomal RNA, 460 nt
Filed under: uncultured bacterium
Lineage: Bacteria
Description: partial 16S ribosomal RNA
Rfam family: Bacterial small subunit ribosomal RNA
Source: RNAcentral
CCUACGGGAGGCAGCAGUGAGGAAUAUUGGUCAAUGGACGAGAGUCUGAACCAGCCAAGUAGCGUGAAGGAUGACUGCCCUAUGGGUUGUAAACUUCUUUUAUAUGGGAAUAAAACGUUCCACGUGUGGGAUUUUGUAUGUACCAUAUGAAUAAGGAUCGGCUAACUCCGUGCCAGCAGCCGCGGUAAUACGGAGGAUCCGAGCGUUAUCCGGAUUUAUUGGGGUUAAAGGGAGCGUAGGUGGAUUGUUAAGUCAGUUGUGAAAGUUUGCGGCUCAACCGUAAAAUUGCAGUUGAAACUGGCAGUCUUGAGUACAGUAGAGGUGGGCGGAAUUCGUGGUGUAGCGGUGAAAUGCUUAGAUAUCACGAAGAACUCCGAUUGCGAAGGCAGUUCACUGGACUGCAACUGACACUGAGGCUCGAAAGUGUGGGUAUCAAACAGGAUUAGAUACCCGUGUAGUA